GAGUUUGAUCGUGGCUCAGAUUGAACGCUGGCGGCAUGCCUUACACAUGCAAGUCGAACGGCAGCAUGAUCUAGCUUGCUAGAUUGAUGGCGAGUGGCGAACGGGUGAGUAAUACAUCGGAACGUGCCCUGUAGUGGGGGAUAACUAGUCGAAAGAUUAGCUAAUACCGCAUACGACCUGAGGGUAAAAGUGGGGGACCGCAAGGCCUCAUGCUAUAGGAGCGGCCGAUGUCUGAUUAGCUAGUUGGUGGGGUAAAGGCCCACCAAGGCGACGAUCAGUAGCUGGUCUGAGAGGACGAUCAGCCACACUGGGACUGAGACACGGCCCAGACUCCUACGGGAGGCAGCAGUGGGGAAUUUUGGACAAUGGGGGCAACCCUGAUCCAGCAAUGCCGCGUGUGUG
RNAcentral lists this ribosomal RNA (402 nucleotides) under uncultured microorganism. RNAcentral's name for it is "bacterial SSU rRNA". It matches the Rfam family "Bacterial small subunit ribosomal RNA", at positions 9 to 407 of the family's 1533-position model. The record is from RNAcentral.